GCCAAGGUUCGCCUUCAAGACUUCCAGUUCUGGUCGGUUCCCUGAGAAAGCAGGCGCCGGGGCCGCCGCAGCCUCACUGGCCUGCCCGGAAGGUGCUGAAGUCGGGGGUCGGGGGCUCGGGCGAGGACGACGUGGAGCUCCCAGCUCCGUCACUGCCUGGCACUGUGACCCCCCAGCUGCAUGACUUCGCCUCUUGCUGUCUCAGUUUGUCCUCUGUGAAAUGGGGAGAAUGCCAGGCCCUCCCGCGGAGCCAGGGCUGCAGAGGGGGCGAAAGACAGCUGGUGACUGUGCUGGAAGACUACCCCUCCCGCUCCUUGGCAAGUCACCCCCCUCCUCCACCUGGGGGGCUCCUGGCCCGCCUGCGAGUCCAGGAGGGAACUCGGCAGAGCCCCAGGAAAGCAGAUGAGAGCAGGCUGGGCUCCCCCCCACACACACACACACAGCCACCCCACUAAGGCCCUUGCCUCUGGGUUGUGUGUGUGGAAAGAAAUGGCUUAGUGGUUAACCCACUGGGGACACCCACGUCCCAUAUCACAGAGCCUGGGCUCAAAUCCCAACCCCACUCCCGACUCCAGCUCCCUGCUCCUGCACACACACAUACCCUGAGAGGCAGCAGGGGUGGCCCAAGGACUUGGGUCCCUGCUGCCCAUGUGGGAGGCCUGGAUUAAAAUUCUGGCUUGCAGGCAUAGGGGAGUGAACCAGCAGAUGGAAGACAGCCUCUCUCUCUCUCUCUCUCUCUCUCUCUCUCUCUCUC
This is a non-coding RNA of Oryctolagus cuniculus (rabbit), 754 nucleotides long. Lineage: Eukaryota; Metazoa; Chordata; Mammalia; Lagomorpha; Leporidae. The record is from RefSeq and is a predicted model, not a curated record.